GUGCUUGCUUUGGCAGCACAUUUACUAACACUGAAACAAUACAGAGAUCACCAUAGCCCGAGUAAGGAUGACACACAAAUUCAAAUUUGUGAAGCAACCCAUAUUU
Artibeus jamaicensis (Jamaican fruit-eating bat) is the source of this 106-nucleotide small nuclear RNA. The record is from RefSeq and is a predicted model, not a curated record. Lineage: Eukaryota; Metazoa; Chordata; Mammalia; Chiroptera; Phyllostomidae.